GUCUCUUCAAAGACAUCUAACAAAAUUGGAACGUUAUAGAGAAGAUUAGGAUGGCCUAUGUGCAAGAUUGACACACACAAUCGAGAAAUGGUCCAAAUUUUU
Molecule: non-coding RNA, 102 nt
Organism: Picea glauca (white spruce)
Lineage: Eukaryota; Viridiplantae; Streptophyta; Pinopsida; Pinales; Pinaceae
Source: Rfam